AUUGAACGCUGGCGGCAGGCCUAACACAUGCAAGUCGAGCGGAUGAAGGGAGCUUGCUCCUGGAUUCAGCGGCGGACGGGUGAGUAAUGCCUAGGAAUCUGCCUGGUAGUGGGGGAUAACGUCCGGAAACGGGCGCUAAUACCGCAUACGUCCUGAUGGAGAACGUGGGGGAUCUUCGGACCUCACGCCAUCAGAUGAGCCUAGGUCGGAUUAGCUAGUUGGUGGGGUAAAGGCCUACCAAGGCGACGAUCCGUAACUGGUCUGAGAGGAUGAUCAGUCACACUGGAACUGAGACACGGUCCAGACUCCUACGGGAGGCAGCAGUGGGGAAUAUUGGACAAUGGGCGAAAGCCUGAUCCAGCCAUGCCGCGUGUGUGAAGAAGGUCUUCGGAUUGUAAAGCACUUUAAGUUGGGAGGAAGGGCAGUAAGUUAAUACCUUGCUGUUUUGACGUUACCAACAGAAUAAGCACCGGCUAACUUCGUG
Molecule: ribosomal RNA, 484 nt
Filed under: uncultured bacterium
Lineage: Bacteria
Description: partial 16S ribosomal RNA
Rfam family: Bacterial small subunit ribosomal RNA
Source: RNAcentral